ACACCAUGGGAAUACAAUGUCACCACGGGAAAUACAGCUGCUUAGGUCCGACUGCUGCUGCGGGGUCCAACUCUGGUUUCCAAAAAGGGACAUGGCUGACCUCCAUUGAUGGAGCUCAGAAUCAUGGACUGCCACUAAAAUGUUGACAUCUCCACAGGAAAGUUAACACAAGAGAAGGACCAGCUGACCAGUCACACAUUUGUAAUCCAAUCCAUAUUAUUGAACAGCACAUACUUGGCAACUGUCACUCCAGUCCAGAUGUGUCUGCCUUGAAUCCACUGUGGAACUGGCAUACUGACUGCCGUACACUUCUUGCAUGAAUCACUGCUUCUCCUCUUUCUUCUGUUUGUAUUUGAAUGAAGAGCUGGCAUACAAGGAAUGAAAAAUAGUUCCAAACAUAAGGGGCAGCAUGGAAGAAGGUGCAGAGAUGAGAGAAGGGGAAGGAUACAAAGGGAGCAAGGUGGAUUGAUGUCUGAGCAGCAUAAAGCUCAAGAGAAUGGUAGAAGCAUAGAGAUGGAAACAGGAGAGGAGCUACGCAGAGCCCUCAAGAAUGUGCCCAGCACGUUCUUCAUUGCCAGCAAUGGAUGCACCAAAACUGCUGAUGCCAAAAAGAUCAUCCACAGCCAUGAUUUCCAUUAGAUUCCUACAAGCUUCCAGAAGUUUUCACCUGAUAUGACCUUCGGUAGCACUUGGGUCUUUAUAACGGAGAAUGUUCAAACUUUGUGUUAAUGUUCUGAUCCCUCCUGUGAGGCGGGGAAGUGCUAUCUAUUAUCUCCAUUUUACAUGUGGAGAACAGAGCUACAAAGAGGCUAAAUGGCUUGCCCCAGUUCACACAGGAACAACAGUCCAAUGAGGUAGGUAAGUAUUAUUACCCUGUGUGUGUGCGUGUUGGGCAUUUCUUUUUUUGUUGCUGUUUGGAUUGUGAGGGUGUUUUGUGACAACUGAGGAAGCUGAAGGAUGUUUAGGUGACUUCUUCAAGCUUUUUGACAGAGCUGGAAAUAGAACCCCAAACUCCUGAUUCCCAGUCUGUUGUUUUAACUGUUAGUCAACACUUCCUCUUCUUGCUUUGUGUGUUUUCUUUUCAUAUAUUUCACAUUCAUUCAGAUGUAUAUAUAUUUCUUUUUAAAAUGAGGAUAUUGUGGCUAUGGGGUUGGAUAAUUACGCAUGAUAUGAAAAAGUAGAAUGCUUAAUAUAUCAGGAUUUUUUUUUUUUUAAGUAAAACACCAGGGAAAUAAAAUUUAAAUACAGGUCAGCAACUGCCAGCCCAAAACAAAUUAUCAUAAUACACAUGUUGCAAAAUUUUCAUUCAUUUUUCUGAUUAUGCUUCAUAGGGCCAUUCUGCUGGUUUGGAAGUGAAGUCUACGUAUGCAUAUUAUUACCUUGAUAUUGCAGUGUACUUAGUAUUUCAUGUUUAAUCUCUGUAUGACUGUGCCUGGUGGGUGUGUGGAUGUGCAUCUCACAUACAUUGGCUAUAUAUAUAGAUCUCACACACACAUACUUUUUUUCAGAACUGGAAGUUUAAAUAUAUGGAACUGUUUAAAACACUAACAUGAUGCUCUUAUAUCUUUAAGUCUUAUAUUUCUAUAACUGUCGUGUUGUUUUGUGAAAACUAAUUUUACUGGGACUAUUUUAACUCUAGCAUGAUGUUUGCAGAAGACUGUGUUUCAAAGCUGACAAAUAUUUCCCCUCCAUAAAGAAAACAAAUAUUGUGCUGUAAUUUAUCUUUUUAACUAAGCUCUGUGGGUCUGUGUAGCAUGCAAAAAAAAAAAAAAAAAAGUGUUGUCCUUGUCACCUGCCACUUUUCCAGCCAACUUGACACCCCCGGGCUUCCCAACAGCUCUUUCCAGCAGGAGCUGUCUCAGAGCUCUUAGCACCACCAAAUAAUUGAGGUUGUCACAUCUCUUGUUCAUUGUUUUUCCAGCCCAGGAAAAAAUGCAAAUAUUUCAUUGUAGUCAUUAAUUUUCCCAUCCUUUUCUUCAAGCAUCUCAUUGGUUUGAUCUGAUGAAAAGGGCUGAAGGCAUUAUUGCAAGCGCAGUGGCAUCCAGGUUCUGCCUAUAGUGGGGAAGAAUCUCAUCAGAUAAAGUCUCAGGGAGGUCAUCAAUCACAGUUGCUGACAACCAUUUUGCCUUCGUUUGUUACAGAUGUGAACAUGCUUAAUUAUUUGUAGUGUAAUUAGUUCAUGAAAUGUCAGGAAAUGUCAAACUGUGUUCACAGCACAGAUUUUUGCAGCAAAGAGGAAUGAGAGCAAGUGUCAAUGGGAGAUGAGGAGGACUGAUGGGGGAGCUGCAUCUGCAGGCAAAUAAGGCAAAUAGCUUGGGGGACAAAGGAGGGUUAAAAAUAUUAAGAUGAGAAGUUUGGAGAGGGAUCCUUUCAAGAGAUCCAGGUAACCACUAUGUGAAAUGUGAAUGACAUCACAGCUUUUCCAGUGGGUGUAUGGAAGGUAUGUCUUCAUUUUUAACAUGUUUGUUUUUGUAAACUUCGACGUUUUAUAUCAGCUCUCAAGGGGCAAUUUCAGCAAAAGUCACCUGCAAUGUAGGUUCAUUCCAGAAAUAUUAAAAACACACCAGAUAGGAUAGAGAAACAUUCUAGUAAAAGGGGACUCCUCCCCAGUACAUUUCUUAGCAAUAAAAUUAAAAAAUCAGUAAUCGGUGCCACGAUGAUUGAGAAAUCAUCUGAAAAAGAGAAUAUGCAUAUUUUCUAAAACUACUGAAAUGUUGGUUCAACAGCACUUGUGUAUUAGUCUUGCAGGUAUGGCAAGUCAAAGUAUCUACACAAAUGAUAGCAUCCCCAUGCUUAUACCCCAAGUACAGAGGUGUCCUGAGUUAUAUGUUUCCCAGUAGGCUCUUGGAAGUAAUUUUUUUGCAAAGGGGAAGGGGAGUUUAAUAAAUGAGCCAGAUAUGUAAUCCAACAUCAAAUUAGCCAGCAAAUUCUUCUGGUUCAGUGGUUGGAUCUAGCUCAAGCACUCAUUGUGUGGGAGCGAUAGUAUUUCACCAGGUGUCAUUAAGCAGGUUUCGAGCUUAGGCACAGAUAAUGGAAAGAAACUAUUAUGGUUCAAUGUAAAUGUGUAUCUUGGCUAGCACAAGGCACGAAUUAAUGACUAUAUCAAAAAUAUCAUACUUUAAAAAUCAACAUAUCUGCAUACAAUAACUUUGAGCUGGCUUCUACGAGGAAUACUUCUGAGAAGCCUGAUGACAGUAAGUUGAUUGACAUCUUAAAAAAAACCCCUUUGAUUGACAAUCUGCUUUUGAAUUCCUAGACGGCACUCCACUGGGCAGCGAAGCACGGCAAUCUUGAGAUGGCAGAGAUGGUCGCCAAAGCAGGCGUCGAUGUCAAUGCU
This is a long non-coding RNA of Malaclemys terrapin pileata, 3337 nucleotides long. RefSeq lists it as uncharacterized. The transcript is spliced from 8 exons. The record is from RefSeq and is a predicted model, not a curated record. Lineage: Eukaryota; Metazoa; Chordata; Testudines; Emydidae.